AGAGUUUGAUCCUGGCUCAGGAUGAACGCUGGCGGCGUGCUUAACACAUGCAAGUCGAACGAAGCAUUUAAGGACGAUUCUUCGGAUGAGGACUUUUAUGACUGAGUGGCGGACGGGUGAGUAACGCGUGGGUAACCUGCCCUAUACAGGGGGAUAACAGUUAGAAAUGACUGCUAAUACCGCAUAAGCGCACUAGAACCGCAUGGUUCGGUGUGAAAAACUGAGGUGGUAUAGGAUGGACCCGCGUCUGAUUAGCUUGUUGGUGGGGUAACGGCCCACCUAACCGACGAUGCGUAGGGGUUCUGAGAGGAAGGUCCCCCACACUGGUACUGAGACACGGACCAGACUCCUACGGGAGGCAGCAGUGAGGAAUAUUGGUCAAUGGUCGGGAGACUGAACCAGCCAAGCCGCGUGAGGGAGGAAGGUACAGAGUAUCGUAAACCUCUUUUGUCAGGGAACAAAGACUGGGACGCGUCCCCGGAUGAGUGUACCUGAAGAAAAAGCAUCGGCUAACUCCGUGCCAGCAGCCGCGGUAAUACGGAGGAUGCGAGCGUUAUCCGGAUUUAUUGGGUUUAAAGGGUGCGCAGGCGGUCUGUUAAGUCAGCGGUCAAAGCCCGGGGCUCAACCCCGGCCCGCCGUUGAAACUGGCAGUCUCGAGUUGGAGAGAAGUAUGCGGAAUGCGCGGUGUAGCGGUGAAAUGCAUAGAUAUCGCGCAGAACUCCGAUUGCGAAGGCAGCAUGCCGGCUCCACACUGACGCUGAGGCACGAAAGCGUGGGUAUCGAACAGGAUUAGAUACCCUGGUAGUCCACGCAGUAAACGAUGAAUGCUGGCUGUCCGGGGGGACUGACCCCUGGGUGGCGAAGCGAAAGCGAUAAGCAUUCCACCUGGGGAGUACGCCGGCAACGGUGAAACUCAAAGGAAUUGACGGGGGCCCGCACAAGCGGAGGAACAUGUGGUUUAAUUCGAUGAUACGCGAGGAACCUUACCCGGGCUCAAACGGGGAGUGACUCAGGCAGAGACGCCUGUUUCCCACGGGACACUCCCCGAGGUGCUGCAUGGUUGUCGUCAGCUCGUGCCGUGAGGUGUCGGCUUAAGUGCCAUAACGAGCGCAACCCCCGCGUGCAGUUGCUAACAGAUAACGCUGAGGACUCUGCACGGACUGCCGGCGCAAGCCGCGAGGAAGGCGGGGAUGACGUCAAAUCAGCACGGCCCUUACGUCCGGGGCGACACACGUGUUACAAUGGGUGGUACAGCGGGAAGCCAGGCGGCGACGCCGAGCGGAACCCGAAAUCCACUCUCAGUUCGGAUCGGAGUCUGCAACCCGACUCCGUGAAGCUGGAUUCGCUAGUAAUCGCGCAUCAGCCAUGGCGCGGUGAAUACGUUCCCGGGCCUUGCACUCACCGCCCGUCAAG
This 1413-nucleotide ribosomal RNA is filed under the name uncultured bacterium. RNAcentral describes it as "bacterial SSU rRNA". It matches the Rfam family "Bacterial small subunit ribosomal RNA". The record is from RNAcentral.